This 497-nucleotide ribosomal RNA is filed under the name uncultured bacterium. RNAcentral's name for it is "partial 16S ribosomal RNA". It matches the Rfam family "Bacterial small subunit ribosomal RNA", at positions 28 to 507 of the family's 1533-position model. The record is from RNAcentral.
GAUGAACGCUGGCGGCGUGCCUAAUACAUGCAAGUCGAGCGAACAGACGAGGAGCUUGCUCCUCUGACGUUAGCGGCGGACGGGUGAGUAACACGUGGAUAACCUACCUAUAAGACUGGGAUAACUUCGGGAAACCGGAGCUAAUACCGGAUAAUAUAUUGAACCGCAUGGUUCAAUAGUGAAAGACGGUUUUGCUGUCACUUAUAGAUGGAUCCGCGCCGCAUUAGCUAGUUUGUAAGGUAACGGCUUACCAAGGCAACGAUGCGUAGCCGACCUGAGAGGGUGGGCGGCCACACUGGAACUGAGACACGGUCCAGCCUCCUACGGGAGGCAGCCGUAGGGAAUCUUCCGCAAUGGGCGAAAGCCUGACGGAGCAACGCCGCGUGAGUGAUGAAGGUCUUCGGAUCGUAAAACUCUGUUAUUAGGGAAGAACAAAUGUGUAAGUAACUAUGCACGUCUUGACGGUACCUAAUCAGAAAGCCACGGCUAACUACGUG